Molecule: long non-coding RNA, 1919 nt
Filed under: Homo sapiens (human)
Lineage: Eukaryota; Metazoa; Chordata; Mammalia; Primates; Hominidae
Description: non-protein coding LINC01473:1
Source: RNAcentral
CUGCGUCCCACUAGGAGGGGGCAGGGACGGGACGUGGGAAAAUGACUACGCGUCACUCGUGAUGUCGCGCAUCCGAUAGGCCCUUUUCAGAUGGCAAAAGGCCUGAGGGUGAAUCUGGGCGAGCUGGUUGAGUCCAUGCGUUUGUGCUUCCUCUCAGUCCACUUUCGCUUACGAUGGGGCGACUCUUGUCCAUCGUCACCUCACCGGGAAACUUUUCCUGCCGGGCCAGUUAAUGGUCCCCUGUACCAUCCCCAUCCUGAGUGACUACUAAGCAGCCGCAGCGACUCGGGGUUGCUCCGUGACCACGUUACUCAGUUAACCUUCUUGUUCCCUGGAGAGGCGGAGCUGAAUGGCCCGGACGGGGUUUCUCCAUGUUUCCCAGGCUGGUCUCAAACUCCUGGACUCAAGCAAUCUGCCCACCUUGCCUCCCAAAAUGCUCCUCCAAAAAAGGAGUGUGCCGCCACACCCAGCCUGAGCAACUUUUGUUUUUAAGGUUGGCUUCAGAGGUGCAAGUAUAUUGGCAGAUGCCUACUCAAGAUAGGCCAAGGAACCCUGAGGGAUGUCGGCUAGCUUUCUGUGCUGCACAUUGAUGUCCUCCAGCACCUGCCAUGAAUGCCGCAACUAUGUCAAGUUCUUCUGGACCAGCAUGUCUUUCCACUAUAAUUCAUUCCUUAGUUCGAAGAAAUCCUCUUUGAUAGCAUUAUCUGGUUUCUGGACAGAUAAUUGCAAUCUUUUUGAAGAAAAAAACAUCCUAUCUGUCUUGCAAUAUCCAGAAACUCCUGGAUACACUGAUCAACACCAGUUUGAAUUUCUUCCUGAUUGGUGCCAUUGACAUACUUCUGACUCACCAGAGAAGCAAAGCAAGCCUGAAAAUAUGACUUCAACUUUUCCAUCAAGGUACUGUCAUAAGGUCUUAGAGAACCUGGAGCUUCCUGAAGAAGCAAAGCCUAGCUUGGGAGUUCCAGUGGGGGUGGUGGGGGACCCAGUGGCUCCACAGGGAACAUAACACCUGGUGGAGCUGCCAUAUCUUGAAUGAGAUUUCUUUUAAAGAGUCAGUGGAGAUGUUAACUAGGCAGUUGAAUAUGAAUCUGACAUUCAAGAGAGUAGUCCAGAACAAAUACAUAUUUGAGAGUUAUUGACCAAGAGAAGGUAUUAAAGCCAGGAUUUCACAGAGAUAAGGAAAACACAGAGGUGAGAUGAUUUAUGUUCAAAUCUGGAGUACUAUCAACAGUUGGAGGUUAAGCCUAGGAGGAAGAGACAGGAAAGAAGUCUGUUGAAGAAGGUAGAAGGAAAGCAGGAAAAAGUUGAGUCAUAGAAGCCAAGAAAAGAAAGCAUUUAAAGAAGGAGGAAAUAAUCAAUUAUUUUAAAUGCAGUUUAAAUUUCAAAUAUGGUAGGGACAGAGAAGUGAUUUCUGAUAUUUCAUAGCAUGGAAAUUAUAGCAACCUUAACAAGAAGAGUCUUGGAGAUGUUAUAAAUAUGAAAGUGGUGGGGACAAGUGCAAGUUAAGAAGAAAAUAAAAGGAAUUUAAAGAGAUAAAUAGAGCUUAAUCAAAACAAAAAUGGAAUAUACAACAACCCAACAACAAGAGCAAUGAAACAAAAACAUAAUUUAGCAAAUAAAACAUCAAAACAACAAAGCCCCCAAACUAUCUUUAGAUUCCCUUUGAGCUAUGUUUAAAAAAUUUUUUUGCCACUUAUCUUCCUCAAACAGUAACCUGUAUUCCACUCACUCAGCUUUACGCCUGUGCUGCUCUAGAUUCCACUUCCACUGCUCCUGUAAACUCUCUCCACUGUCACUGAUGACUGCACAAUGAGACUUUAUUCUCUGCACUUCUCUGAAGUCCUUGAAAUACAGUAAUCCCUCCUUACUUAUAAGGGAUAUGUUCCAAGACAUUCAUUAUAUGCCUGAAACCACAAAAA